GCUAUAUAUACAUACUAAUCCACACUAUUUUUAUUUCUCAUUGUUUUAGAGAGAGAGAGAUAGAGAGAGAUGAGUUCGCGGUUAUGCACCAUAUGUUUAAACUCAGUUGUAGAUGAUAAUAGUAGAGGAAAAGCAGAGCUCGUUUGUGGCCAUCUCUUUCACUUGGAUUGUAUUGGUUCAGAAUUCAACUACAGAAGCGAAAUGAAAUGCCCAAAUUGUAGGGUGGUGGAAAGUGGUGAAUGGCUUUUUCCUGAAGUGGAACUUGACGAUGACGAAGACUAUUCAGUAGGCGAGCGUCGUCUUGAAAUUCACAUAUAUUCACACGGUGGAAGGGGUGAUUCUUCGACUUCCAGGCAAGUAACAUAAUAGAAACUUCUGAGCUCACUUUAAGAUGAAAUUGACAUUUUCCCGUUUAAUAUUGAUUUUUUUUAUAUAGAUUUUAAUUUCAUAGUUUUAUUUAAAGAAAAUAUACUAAUAUAGUAGCUCCAUAAAUUAAUUUAGCGACAAUAUUAAUUAAUUUUUUAAUUAAUAGUGCAUUAUUUAAGUCUUAAGGAGUAAUUUAGUGACAAUUUAGGUUUGUUACUAAUUUAUAGCGUUGGAAAUUUAAUUGGUGACCGAAUUUUACCGGUGACAUUUUAACUCAUAUAAAUAUAGUUAGGUGUGAAAAUUGACAUGUUUCACGUUAUUAAUAUAACGCUUUUUUCCUUUUUCUUUUUCUUCCAUAAGUAAAAAGAUGUCGUUUUGAUAAUAUGAAAUAUCUCAAAUUUUCAGAUCAUUGAAUUUAUGUGGGUGAACAUAUCGCAUAUCCAUCUGGCAAAUUGGAUUUUUCGAAUUUCGGUGCGAAAAAAUACUUAUGGGCUAAAUUGUAACUAAAUCAAUUUGUAAGACUUGUAUAAUGAACCCUCAAAAAAAAGACUUGUAUAAUGUAUUAAUGAGUUAAAAAUCAGGUUAAUUUAUCAAAAUUAGGUUAAUUUUUUUUAUUUAAUACUGUUAAUUUAUAAAAAAAAUCAGGUUAAUUCUAAAAAAAUGAGUUAAAAAUCAGGUUAAAAACUUUCACUAAAUCAAAUUAUGGCGCAAAACUAGUGUAUUUUUCUUUUAUUUAUUCUUAGUCGAAUGUAGUACUAACAAUACCUCUUUUUGGUAAAGGGAAGAAAUAGGAGCUUGUUUGAAAGCAUUUUUGUCAACUAGUAU
Salvia miltiorrhiza (redroot sage) is the source of this 1191-nucleotide long non-coding RNA. RefSeq lists it as uncharacterized. The transcript has 3 exons. The record is from RefSeq and is a predicted model, not a curated record. Lineage: Eukaryota; Viridiplantae; Streptophyta; Magnoliopsida; Lamiales; Lamiaceae.